Molecule: unclassified non-coding RNA, 382 nt
Filed under: Hevea brasiliensis (rubber tree)
Lineage: Eukaryota; Viridiplantae; Streptophyta; Magnoliopsida; Malpighiales; Euphorbiaceae
Source: RNAcentral
UCGCUCGUCUUCACAUCCUCCGAUGCCAUUGAUCAGCAAAACCCUAAGUCGUGAAGAAAAAAAAGAGAUGUCGGGUUUCACCGGCAACCGAUCAGGUGAGACCUUAUCUCGCGCGUUUAUGGUAGAGCAAGAUUCUGCAUUUCUCUUCGUACCCAAAAAAUAACAGAGUACUAGUGGUGGUGGCGGGUGACGGCUCCUGAGAAAGGCGCAAGCGAUGUCUCAACUUUAGCUACGCGACAGUGUGCGUGCGUCUGGUGCUGUGGUGACUGACGGCGUCUAUUCUUUUGAUUGGGAGUAUUACUGUUUAUGUUUCUUUUUUUUGUGUUUCCUUGAGCGUCUCGUCUGUUUUCAACUAAUUUAAUAUAUUAAAAUUUUAUUUUUU